Long non-coding RNA from Eleginops maclovinus (Patagonian blennie), 909 nucleotides. RefSeq lists it as uncharacterized. The transcript has 3 exons. Lineage: Eukaryota; Metazoa; Chordata; Actinopteri; Perciformes; Eleginopidae. The record is from RefSeq and is a predicted model, not a curated record.
AUGGUAUUAUGUCUGCCAUGGACAAGGCUCCCUCCAAAUACAGCCUGAAAAGCAAGAAGAAUUGCCUGGGCCGUGGAGAGCGUCAAGGAAACGCAGUGGCUCUGCACCUGGUCAGCAAGCUGCUGAAAGACUAUUCAUGACCCAUGGCCAGGCUGCCCAGAGACCUGAUAAAAACAGGGUAUCGGAAUGCGUUUCCCUGAGGCUCUGGAAGGAGUACGAGCUGGCAAGGAACAGGCCAAAAGACUGCAAGGGGAAAACCUUGCCAGUUGCGCAGUCAAUGGUGAAGACAUACUGCCACAUAAAACAGCUGCUCGAAGACAGCCUGGUGAUACAGGACAAGACCAACUUGGUCCUGGUUACUAUAAACAACACCACAGUGUCUUCUUGGCUGCAUGAGAGGCAGAAAAGGACAGGUCGGGACUCAUUGCUCCAAGGAGUACAGCUUCCCCAGAAGGUCUCUGCAGCAAAAGAUUUUCUGCCAAAACCCAGAGAGCUCCCUUCUGCCCCUGUGGAACAUCGACAUGUCAUCAUGGAAUUCCCGGAGCCUGAAAAUCGUGAGGGCGAGGCAGUGAUACGCCGGCGCCACAGUGUCCGAACUGGCUCAGCACAGCAUUGUCCUCCUGAGUGGUACAAUGCAUGGCCUGGUUCUCCUGCCUCAUCCUUGUAUGCGCAGGCUCAUCAUCCACCAGCCCCAUCUCCUGCCUCAUGGCCGUACCAUAUGCCAGCAGCCCCAUCUCCUACCUCAUCCUCGUACACGCAGGUUCUUCUUCCACCAGCCCCAUCUCUUGCCUCAUCCUCGUACACGCAGGGUCUUCUUCCACCAGCCCCACCUCUUGCCUCAUCCUCUUACACGCAGGAUCUUCUUCCACCAGCCCCAUCUCCUGCCUCAUGGCCGUACCAUAUGCCAGC